This 316-nucleotide non-coding RNA is filed under the name Dichanthelium oligosanthes. Its description in RNAcentral is "Bacterial small subunit ribosomal RNA". It matches the Rfam family "Bacterial small subunit ribosomal RNA", at positions 1024 to 1379 of the family's 1533-position model. Lineage: Eukaryota; Viridiplantae; Streptophyta; Magnoliopsida; Poales; Poaceae. The record is from Rfam by way of RNAcentral.
GCCUGGCCUCGGCGGGGCUCCUUUUUUAUCAAAAGACCGAGCCUACUCAUAACCGAAAUGGUGGACCCUCAAACCACCCAUCUAACCAGGAUCACAUUAAUAGUGCAGACUAUACUCAUUGACAUUUGGGCCCUGGCCCUUAUGGGCUGGGCCACACACGUGCUACAAUGGCAAUGACAAUGGGAAGCAAGGCUGUAAGGCGGAGCGAAUCCGAAAAGAUUGCCUCAGUUCGGAUUGUUCUCUGCAACUCGGGAACAUGAAGUUGAAAUCGCUAGUAAUCACGGAUCAGCAUGCCGCGGUGAAUACGUACCCGGGC